AACGAACGCUGGCGGCGCGCCUAACACAUGCAAGUCGAACGAGAAGGCGUAGCAAUACGCUUGUAGAGUGGCGAACGGGUGAGUAAUACGUGGGUGACCUACCCUCGAGUGGGGAAUAACCCGCCGAAAGGCGGGCUAAUGCCGCGUACGCUUCCGUCCUCACGGGGACGGAAGGAAAGCUGUACCGUGGGUACGGCGCUCAAGGAUGGGCUCACGUCCUAUCAGCUUGUUGGUAGGGUAACGGCCUACCAAGGCUACGACGGGUAGCUGGUCUGAGAGGACGAUCAGCCACACUGGCACUGCGACACGGGCCAGACUCCUACGGGAGGCAGCAGUGGGGAAUCUUGGACAAUGGGCGCAAGCCUGACCCAGCCAUGCCGCGUGGGUGAAGAAGGCCU
RNAcentral lists this ribosomal RNA (398 nucleotides) under uncultured bacterium. Its description in RNAcentral is "bacterial SSU rRNA". It matches the Rfam family "Bacterial small subunit ribosomal RNA", at positions 29 to 417 of the family's 1533-position model. The record is from RNAcentral.